UUCUGGGGAAAAAACGAGACUCGGCGAGAACUGAGACGUCAGCUAGGAGAUGUCUAGGACCUGUCUAGCCUGCCUCUUGCUGCUGACCACGGUCUGUACGUGUGAGGGAGGAGGCACGGUGGUGAGGACAUGGAGGAGGUUGUCUGUAGACAGCCAUGUGUACACCAUGCAGACGUACUCCAGGCUGGUCACAGCGCAGUCUCGCAUCAUGUGUGCUGACCUUUGCUCUCAGACCAGCGCAUGUCACGUCUUCUACUUCCGCUCGGACACCGGCCACUGCUUUUUGUCGCCGACACUAGCAAAGGGCAACUCGAAGACGUCCACACCCCUGAAUCACGUCUACUUUGAUGGAGUCACCUGCCCGUUGAACAGCACCUUCCUGCAGCUGGGGUUUAUCUCAUGCAUAAAGCCGUCCACAACGAGAGUGAACCUCCCUACAGCAAGACAGGUCUGUGUCGAUGAUGGAGCCAGCUUUGUGAGCAUGAAGACGAAAGAAAAGAUGGAGUUGCUCAUAAACUUGGUUUACAAAACCACAGGUAAAUGGACGAGGUUGAAGAAUUUGAUGUGUGUCGCGUGGUCACCUGUCCUUAUUCCACAACAGACAUCAUUACUCUGUUUAGUAACAAAUAUGUCUGCACACCUUGAGUAU
This is a long non-coding RNA of Pomacea canaliculata, 649 nucleotides long. RefSeq lists it as uncharacterized. NCBI's taxonomy places the organism in Eukaryota, Metazoa, Mollusca, Gastropoda, Architaenioglossa, Ampullariidae. The record is from RefSeq and is a predicted model, not a curated record. The transcript is spliced from 3 exons.